This is a long non-coding RNA of Oncorhynchus tshawytscha (Chinook salmon), 1418 nucleotides long. The record is from Ensembl. Lineage: Eukaryota; Metazoa; Chordata; Actinopteri; Salmoniformes; Salmonidae.
CCGAACUCUUCCCGUCUUCUUCAAGUUUUUCCCAAAUUGAGUAUGCUCUGUACAUUUCAAUUGAAGCACAGUGUGAUUUCACUGAGGUAUGUAUAAAUUAUGAAAUUCUCAUCACUAAUGGAUAUGUUUUUUUGGGAUCCCCAUCUGAUUAUUUUUUUAAAGCCUAAUUUGCUGCAUGUUGUCCUAUGGUGGUGCUUGGUUCUCCUGCAGAACUUUCCUAUGCUGUAACAUUAUAAAAACGUUUCAUUUGCAUCCUUAAAAUCAAACGCUUUGCUGUAGCCAGACUGACCUGAAUAUAUGUUCAUAAUGAAUGUAUGUCAUUCACUCACUGAGGUCUGAAGAAGAGGUUGAAAGAUCCAAAAAGGCGGUGAAAACACAAUACAGGUAGUUGUCAUGAUGAGUGGUAUAGUCUUAAACUAAUGUUUAAAGAUGUACCCCCCCCAAAAGAAAUAUAUAUUUCAGGGUGAUGUAGAUUCCCCCCCCAAGAAGUCACAUCAGCAUCCAGCUCUGCAGGAUCAGACGAUACUGAAAACAAAAUGCACUGGGGGCUGUGAACUGGGAAGCAGCUGUUCUUCUAAGGAACACCCUAGAGGCAGCAAGGUGGCGCGAACUCUGAACAUUUAAAGGCACUGUUUCCCUCCCCCUAGUGUAAUUGGGAUGGAUGGGGAAGACUGCAUUUACAACCCUUAAAGAACUAUGGUUGUAUGAUGGCCAGGAUGAAGAGGAAACUUAAUAUCCUCAAGGAACCAUUCAUGUUACAGAGAGAUUAUGAGAUGUUUGAUUUAUUUAUUUUUUAUUUUACCUUUAUUUAACCAGGUAGGCAAGUUGAGAACAAGUUCUCAUUUACAAUUGCGACCUGGCCAAGAUAAAGCAAAGCAGUUCGACAGAUACAACGACACAGAGUUACACAUGGAGUAAAACAAACAUACAGUCAAUAACACAGUAUAAACAAGUCUAUAUACAACGUGAGCAAAUGAGGUGAGAAUGGAGGUAAAGGCAAAAAAGGCCAUGGUGGCAAAGUAAAUACAAUAUAGCAAGUAAAACACUGGAAUGGUAGUUUUGCAAUGGAAGAAUGUGCAAAGUAGAAAUAAAAAUAAUGGGGUGCAAAGGAGCAAAAUAAAUUUAAAAUUAAAUACAGUUGGGAAAGAGGUAGUUGUUUGGGCUAAAUUAUAGGUGGGCUAUGUACAGGUGCAGUAAUCUGUGAGCUGCUCUGACAGUUGGUGCGUAAAGCUAGUGCGGGAGAUAAGUGUUUCCAGUUUCAGAGAUUUUUGUAGUUCGUUCCAGUCAUUGGCAGCAGAGAACUGGAAGGAGAGGCGGCCAAAGAAAGAAUUGGUUUUGGGGGUGACUAGAUAUACCUGCUGGAGCGUGUGCUACAGGUGGGAGAUGCUAUGGUGACCAGCGAGCUGAGAUAAGGGGGG